AGAGCGAACGCUGGCGGCGUGCUUAACACAUGCAAGUCGAGUGCGCGCCCGUAGCAAUACGGGUGGCGCACGGCGCACGGGUGCGUAACACGUGGGUAAUCUGCCCUUCGAUGGGGAAUAACUCGCCGAAAGGCGAGCUAAUUCCGCAUAACAUUCCGAGGACUUUGGUCUUGGAUUCAAAGGCGUAAGUCGUCGGAGGAGGAGCCCCGCGCACGAUUAGCUAGUUGGUGAGGUAAUGGCUCACCAAGGCUAUGAUCGUUAGC
Molecule: ribosomal RNA, 263 nt
Filed under: uncultured bacterium
Lineage: Bacteria
Description: partial small subunit ribosomal RNA
Rfam family: Bacterial small subunit ribosomal RNA
Source: RNAcentral